GGAGGGGGAGCUGGAAAGGGUUGGGGGAGGGAACUGUGGCCUUAAGAGAGAAAAGAAGAAUGCGGACCCCUCCGUCCAGGGCUGGAGAGGCCAGGCCUAAAAAGGAAUAAAGAGGCGAGGCUCAGAGAGAAGGAGAGAGGGAGGGGCGUAAGGACCCCAAGCCCAAGGAGAAUAAAGGAGGAGAGGGGGAUGGAGAUUUCAGACCCAGGGAGCAGAUGAGGAAGGGGUAGAGAUCCUAACCUUAGUGAGGGAAGGGGAAGGAGCUGAAGUCAUCAGCCUCAGAGGAAAAGACAAGACCCCUUCCCUCCCCUCAAAUCUGUGGGAAGGAAAGGAACUGCCAGCCGUACUGAGAGGAAAUGGAGGCCCACCUUACUUCAAUGUGAUAAGCUACUUCAGGAUCCUGUGGAAAAGCUGCAUUAUAAUCGAUAGCCUCAUAAAUAAAUGAAGAGUCAACGCAGCCUGUCUCCUCCAGCUCAGGGCAUCUUCAGGAAAAUCGAACCUCGAGCCACUUCUGCUCACCCAUUCUGGAUUUCUACAGAGGCCUCCAGAGGGAAGGAAUCUUACAGGUCAUCCUGAGCAUCCCCCUGCCUCUGGGCUGGCCUGCCAUGUACCCCAUCCAAGGAGGUCUGCUUGCCACCCCUACCCAGGAAGGCCUGCCCUCUCCUGGCAGACUCCCUUCUCCCAGUCCCCUGGGGCUCUCACUGUGAGUUCUUGCUCACCUUCAUUCUCUUGCUCCUGGUGAACUCCCCCUCUCCUUUCCACCCGGGCCAUUUGCUUCUCACCACUCCUGAUUUCUGACUAUUGCUUGGCACCAAACAGGAUCAGCAGCAGGAGGAAGGGAGUCACUCCCCACUCCUCUGGAGUCUCCUCUCCAUACUCACCCCUCCGACUUCUUGUCAUCAAUUGUAAAUGGGCCCCUUGGGAUCUGACAGAGUAUGCAUUUCUGGAAGCAAUGGACAAAGACCCUUGUAACUUUACAGAACAGAUACGUGCCAGUAAGUUGACUGCAAGGCAAUCCUUCCUCUCUCUGCCUUCUAUUACAUCACUGGAGAUGUUCUUCUCGUGGGAAAAAGGAAAUCUCCAACAAGGAAGUUCAAUAUUUUGGAAUCCAAAGACCAAGAGGGUGGUCAGCCCUGUGUGGUGAUGGGCGUCAGCCUUCUGGGUUCCUUGAAACACCUCAGGACCUCUCCUCUGUUUGAUGCCUUGGUUUCCCCUCCGCUUCCCUGGCCCAGACAGAGAACACUCCCAUGGCUAAGGAUUCUUAAGCGCUGCUUGGGUAGUUAGCAUGGAGAAAGGAGUCAUCUGGUUGUGACAGCCCUCUGUAUUCGUAAUUAUUGACCACCAUGCUCCAGUUGAUCCCUGGGGGCUGAAAACUCCUUUAAUUAAAGGUUUCUGACUACAAGAUACUAUAUCCC
This 1415-nucleotide long non-coding RNA is filed under the name Equus asinus (donkey). RNAcentral's name for it is "lncRNA (ENSEASG00005038604.1)". Lineage: Eukaryota; Metazoa; Chordata; Mammalia; Perissodactyla; Equidae. The record is from RNAcentral.